RNAcentral lists this long non-coding RNA (232 nucleotides) under Setaria viridis. Its description in RNAcentral is "long non-coding RNA (SVIR_LNC007876)". The record is from RNAcentral. Lineage: Eukaryota; Viridiplantae; Streptophyta; Magnoliopsida; Poales; Poaceae.
CCUUCUCCCGCUGGCACUUGGCCGCCCCAGCUCCCUCCGGGUUGGACGGUCGAGUGGGAUCCCUCCUCGGACGGCGAGGAGAGGGAUCAGUGAUGUCCCGGCUGGACUCACCAGGGAUGUCCGACCCCGACGUUGUGCUUCCGCUAGUGGUUUUAUCUUCUGUUGUCUUUCUUGAAAACCUUGUAAAACUCUGAUGUUUAUUUCCUAACCAAAAUAAGUGGUUAAGUUGUUA